Molecule: ribosomal RNA, 117 nt
Filed under: Candidatus Egerieicola pullicola
Lineage: Bacteria; Bacillati; Bacillota; Clostridia; Eubacteriales; Oscillospiraceae
Source: RNAcentral
GACGGUGUCGAUGGCGGUGAGGAUCCACCUGUUCCCAUCCCGAACACAGAAGUUAAGCUCACCAGUGUCGACAAUACUUGGCUGGCGACGGCCCGGGAAGAUAGAGCGACGCCGUCU